UAGAGAGUAGUAAAAUGGAAUUACAGGGAGUUUUGAUCUCUCAGCUAUAGGUUCAAUUCCUAUCUUUCUAU
This 71-nucleotide transfer RNA is filed under the name Telmatobius bolivianus. RNAcentral describes it as "tRNA-Gln". It matches the Rfam family "tRNA". From Rfam's summary of the family: Transfer RNA (tRNA) molecules are approximately 80 nucleotides in length. Their secondary structure includes four short double-helical elements and three loops (D, anti-codon, and T loops). Lineage: Eukaryota; Metazoa; Chordata; Amphibia; Anura; Ceratophryidae. RNAcentral also lists the same sequence under 1 other name. The record is from RNAcentral.